Macaca mulatta (Rhesus monkey) is the source of this 614-nucleotide long non-coding RNA. RefSeq lists it as uncharacterized. The record is from RefSeq and is a predicted model, not a curated record. NCBI's taxonomy places the organism in Eukaryota, Metazoa, Chordata, Mammalia, Primates, Cercopithecidae.
UAGAAGUGCGGUACAGCCUUCUAAAGAAGCCAGGCUUGGAACAGAACAGUUCUGGGAACACAGUCAGCACUGAUAAAACUCUUACUGAUGAAUUUACCUAUACCUGUGUUUAAGCCUUGUGAUCUGAAAAAUAGUUGCAAUGUGAAUCUAAGAAAAUAAAGAUGUGGAGUACACACAGCUUUGCCUCAGAUUCUCUGGACUAAAGACUAACACUCAUCUAGAUGCCCAAGAUCCCAUCAAUCACCACAUUUUUUAGACUUCUAACUGCUAAGAAAUAUUUUGGAUCUUCAGAAUAGAGACGUCUGGCAGUCACCAGCUGAACAAAAUGGUCAAACUUUGCACUACCAUCAUGGGACAGCCUGACAUAUGUGCCUCUUGAGAUAAUAUUCCACAGGAUGCGAGCAUAUGCAGUGGAAACAUUGUGUUAUUCCAUCCUCAGAAGAAAAGAGACAGUAUUAUACUUCAUCUCUUACUAGUACAUAACAUGAAAUCCUGUGGACAGAGACUCAGUUUCCUCAGUGCUGAUAAGAAACUGGCAAUUACCAGGCAAUUAACAAACAUUUUUGAAUAAAUGAAUGACUGAAUAAAUGACUGGUGUUAUUACCGUUGAUCCA